Molecule: ribosomal RNA, 195 nt
Filed under: uncultured bacterium
Lineage: Bacteria
Description: partial 16S ribosomal RNA
Rfam family: Bacterial small subunit ribosomal RNA
Source: RNAcentral
CCUACGGGAGGCAGCAGUGGGGAAUUUUGCGCAAUGGGCGAAAGCCUGACGCAGCAAUACCGCGUGAGUGAUGAAGGCUCUUGGGUCGUAAAGCUCUGUCAGAGGGGAAGAACCUCCUAACGUAUAAUACACGUUAGGCCUGACGGUACCCUCAGAGGAAGCACCGGCUAACUCCGUGCCAGCAGCCGCGGUAAU